CAGUCGCCGCGGUAAUACGUAGGUCCCGAGCGUUGUCCGGAUUUAUUGGGCGUAAAGGGAGCGCAGGCGGUUUAGUAAGUCUGAAGUUAAAGGCAUUGGCUCAACCAAUGUAUGCUUUGGAAACUGUUAGACUUGAGUGCAGAAGGGGAGAGUGGAAUUCCAUGUGUAGCGGUGAAAUGCGUAGAUAUAUGGAGGAACACCGGUGGCGAAAGCGGCUCUCUGGUCUGUCACUGACGCUGAGGCUCGAAAGCGUGGGUAGCGAACAGGAUUAGAUACCCCCGUAGUCCCUGUCUCUUAUACA
This 301-nucleotide ribosomal RNA is filed under the name uncultured bacterium. Its description in RNAcentral is "partial 16S ribosomal RNA". It matches the Rfam family "Bacterial small subunit ribosomal RNA", at positions 509 to 808 of the family's 1533-position model. The record is from RNAcentral.